AAUGGCAUUCGCUUGAAGGUUGGAGCUCGAAGAACAUAAGGUUUGCGUCGGCACAAGUUAAGUUGAAGAACUGAUGAUUAGUUAGAAGCUGACACUUGAAAAGUUAUGUUCACUAUCUCAAUAUCUAUUUCUAAGGUUAGUAGCUCUACCUAAUCUCUAAAUAAUUUCAUGAUAGGGUUAGUAGCUAAUCUUUAAUUUUAUUAGGUUGCAUGAUGGAGUCAAUCCAAAAGUCAUGUUGGGUUUUUUUAAUAUUUUUGUUUGAAUAACUUCUUUUGUUUGAUGUUUGAACUGAAUUGUUUGUAAUAGUGUGAUUAUUGUUAAUUAGAAAUAGAAAAUUUAUAAACUCUAAUUUGUUAAAAUGUUAUGUGCUUGAAGGUUGGAGCUCGAAGAACAUAAGGUUUGCGUCGGCACAAGUUAAGUUGAAAAUCUUAUAAUCAGUUAGAAGCUGAUACUUAAAAGGUUAGGUUCUUUAUUCUUUAGCUAAAUAUAACUUUUUAAUUUUCUUAUUUUGUUUACUAUUUUAAUUUUUAUUUAAAAGGUUAGUACCUCUACCUCGUCUUUAAAUAAUUCCAUGAUAGGAUUAGUAGCUAAUUUUUUAUUUUAUUAAGUUACAUGGUGGUGUUCCUUCAAAAGUCAUGUUGGGUUAUUUUACUUCUUUUGUUUGCUAAUUAGAAAUAGAAAAUUUAUAAACUCUAAUUACUUUGUUGGGUUAUUUUAGUUUUUUUGUCUGAAUUACUUUUUUUGUUUGAUGUUUGAAAUGCAUUGUUUCUAAUAUUGUCUGAUGAUUGUUUAAUUAGAAAUAUAAAUUUUAUUAAACUCUAAUUUAUUAAAAAUGGUAUGUGCUUGAAGAUUGGAGCUCGAAGAACAUAAGAUUUGCCUCGGCACAUGUUAAGUUGAAGAACUGAUCAUCAGUUAGAAGCCGAUACUUGAAAAGCUAAGUUGUCUAUUCUUGAGCUAAAUUUAACUUUUUUUUAUUUUCUAAUUUUGUUAACUUUCUCAAUUUCUAUUUCUAUGUUAGUACUUCAACCUCAUCUCUACCAAACAUUACUU
This 1050-nucleotide long non-coding RNA is filed under the name Ricinus communis (castor bean). Its description in RNAcentral is "long non-coding RNA (RCOM_LNC003619)". The record is from RNAcentral. Lineage: Eukaryota; Viridiplantae; Streptophyta; Magnoliopsida; Malpighiales; Euphorbiaceae.